UGAAACUCUCUUACUUCUGCCUCAUCUACAGAUUGGAUAGAGACCAAAAUAAUAGUAACACCAAUUUUUUUAAUAAAUAAAAAAACAUGAAACUCAACCUAAACCCCCUCUUCAUCUUUUUUUUCCCUAAACGUAAACCAAAACCUAAAAUUUCUUCUUCCCCCAAUAUGUGUUAUCUUCUUCAAUAAUCUCUUCUUCAUUUUCUUCCCUUAAUUAGAGUUCAUGGAACAAUCGAUCAUAAUGAUUAUAACUAGAAUAUAUAAUCCAUGCAACCAUAAUUCAUACAACCAUAAUUCAAAUAACCAAAAGAUUACAAUGAUAAUUCAUAUUAACCAAAUGAUAAAAAUUCUUUCAACCUGAAUUUUUUCGUUAAUAAUUUAAAAUUGGAUAAGUCUAGAAGUGCUUUAAUUAUAGAAAAUAGUAGAAUAUAUCAAGAAGUAGGUUUUAAUUAAGAAGUUCCUAAAAAUGUGUUUAGAGUUAUCUAUUUGUAGCUAUAAAUACUCCCUUGUACUUGACAAUAUUAAACAUCAAGAAAAUUGUGAAUUUUCUCUUAGAAAUAUUUCUCUUCCUCUAACAAAUUCGUAAUUCAUGCAAUAUUUCAAUGAAGAAUAAAUAAGAAAAGCACUUGAAGAUGAAAUAAUGGAAGAAUAUGAAGAGCAAAUUGGGGGAAGGAGAUGAAUAACCAAUUGGAGAAAGAAGAAUGAUUCCAUAACAAAAUGAUUACAACAAGAAUUCAUAAUUCAUGAACUAGAAUUCAUACAACCAAAACUCAUAUAAUCAAAAAAUGAUAACCAUAAUACAUAUAACCUAAGGAUAGAAAGUCUUCCAACCAGAAUUCAUUAUUCAUGCAAUCUUCUAAUAUUCCAUUGAAGAAGAAUAACAGAAAAAGGUGAAGGAAAAAUAGGGGAAGAAGAUCAAUGACAAAUUGGGGGAAGAAGAAAUUUUAAGAUUAUAUUUAGGGAAUAAGAAGAAGAAGGUAUUUAGGGUGAGCUUUAUAUUUUGUGAUUUAUUGGAAGUGCUACUAUCACUUUGGUCUCGACCCAAUUUGUUAUGUACGAGACACUAAUAGAGUCCCAUGUCAACUUCCCAAUCAAAAUUCAUGUCACCAAGUUAAUAAACUUAAACUGUUAGACUAAAUUGACAUAAGUUUGAAUGAGUUAAAUACUAACUUGAAUUUUCAGCUGAGUUAAGGAUUAAAGUAACAACGUCAUACACAUUUAGAGAAUAAAUUCACAUUUAGAGAAUAAAUUUGUAGUUCACCCUCCAAAUAGGUUAGACUUUUAC
RNAcentral lists this long non-coding RNA (1284 nucleotides) under Cicer arietinum (chickpea). Its description in RNAcentral is "long non-coding RNA (CARI_LNC002295)". Lineage: Eukaryota; Viridiplantae; Streptophyta; Magnoliopsida; Fabales; Fabaceae. The record is from RNAcentral.